GAGUUUGAUCCUGGCUCAGAACGAACGCUGGCGGCAGGCUUAACACAUGCAAGUCGAGCGCCCCGCAAGGGGAGCGGCAGACGGGUGAGUAACGCGUGGGAAUCUACCCAUCUCUACGGAAUAACGCAUGGAAACGUGUGCUAAUACCGUAUACGUCCUUCGGGAGAAAGAUUUAUCGGAGAUGGAUGAGCCCGCGUUGGAUUAGCUAGUUGGUGGGGUAAAGGCCUACCAAGGCGACGAUCCAUAGCUGGUCUGAGA
Molecule: ribosomal RNA, 258 nt
Filed under: uncultured Phyllobacterium sp.
Lineage: Bacteria; Pseudomonadati; Pseudomonadota; Alphaproteobacteria; Hyphomicrobiales; Phyllobacteriaceae
Description: partial 16S ribosomal RNA
Rfam family: Bacterial small subunit ribosomal RNA
Source: RNAcentral